GUACUCUCACACUCCCAAUUACUUUGGAUUGGGAGCGGUGGACUUGGGUGUUGCUGCUUGACUGUGGCUCACCUGAAAUAUGUUAGUGCAACUCUUGAUUGGACAUAGUACGGCGUGAUAAGUGUCUUCGCUGGCUCCUCGUAAAGAGGGUGGCUGAUCAGGAGCUCUGUUGCUUCAAACUGUCUUCGGACAAUCUUCUGGCA
RNAcentral lists this unclassified non-coding RNA (203 nucleotides) under uncultured Sebacina. RNAcentral describes it as "sequence contains ITS2". Lineage: Eukaryota; Fungi; Basidiomycota; Agaricomycetes; Sebacinales; Sebacinaceae. The record is from RNAcentral.